UCAGUACCAACCUCAGGCAUUCCAACACCUUGCUGGUAACUCACCCAGAUUGGUAUCCAGUGGUUUCUCCCUUAUCCAUUGUUUUCACCCUUUUCUGAACACUCAUUUCAUUAACAUGUGAUCAGAAUGGAAAUGCCUGUCCAAUGCUCAGUGUUGAGUCAGAGGUGGAGAGUUUGAUUCUCCAUUGUGCCCUCUGGGAGAAAAGCCAGCCUGUGUUGCUUUGGGCAAGUUGCACGGCCCCAAGACUCCACCCCCCCAAGAAUGAAAUGGUGUACUACUUCUGUGUAUUUCUUACCUAGAAGACCCUGGGAAGUCAGAAUUGACUUGACAGCACCACAUCAUCAUCAUCAUCAUCACCACCACCACCAUCAUCAUCAUUGUGAAACAUAAAAUUCAGGUGGCAACUAUUACAAUAAUGAUCCAGAGCAGAUGGAAGCAGUGCAGGCAGAGAGAUCAAGCCGUAUUUUGAAGAGGUUUAUAACAGCCAUUUUUCUCAGGAAGAUUAAAACUACCAGUUUCAUGAAGUCUGGAGGAAGACAGUUAAUCGAUUGCGUUUGGAUAAUCACACAAUUUGCUCACAAAACAUGAGUCACCAGACACUAGUUAGUCUGCCAAAAAUCAGAUUAAAAUUCCCCCAAUUAAUUUUUUUUGUUAGUGAUGGCAGCCAAUCCAAUUUCUUUACAAUCUAACAUUGACAUGUUUUAAUGAUCCUUUGGUAUGGUGGUUGUUACUGUUAGUUUUGAUGGUGGUGGUGGUGGGUUGAACACACCAGUCCGGUUUGUGUUCCACUCAUUGUCUAUAACAACAACAACAACCUCUCAAAACUUCAACUACCUUUCUAUUACUUCCAAAUAUAAGGAAUCACUUAACACCUAAAGAACUCCAUUAGGGAGAGGGAGCAAUGCUAUUUCAGAACAGCACUCAAACAAAAAGAGACCAGCUCCUCCUCAGAUGUCAAAGAGAAAAGAGAAUCCAGCUGUAUGCUCAAUAAUAAACACAGCCA
Molecule: long non-coding RNA, 1003 nt
Filed under: Pogona vitticeps (central bearded dragon)
Lineage: Eukaryota; Metazoa; Chordata; Lepidosauria; Squamata; Agamidae
Description: lncRNA (ENSPVIG00000025619.1)
Source: RNAcentral